CGUGACGACAACGCGCCGCGCUUCACGCAGGCGGCGUACAGCAUGUCGGUGAGCGAGAACGACGCGGGCGCGGUGCGGCUGGGCAGCGUGAAGGCGACGGACUCGGACGCGGGCGCGAACGGGGCGCGUGAGGUACGCGCUGGUGCGGGAGGAGGGCUCGGAGGCGGCCGCCGUGUCGGUGGACGCCGAGAGCGGGGCCGUGUCGGUGGUGCGUCCGCUGGACUACGAGCAGGUGCGCGCCGUGGAGGUGACGGUGGUCGCGGCCGACGGGGGGCUCUCCGUCGCGGAGCGCCACGGCGCUGCUGCGGGUGCUGGUGCGGGACGAGAACGACAACGCGCCCGUGGUGCUGCACCCGCCGUCCGACGGCGGCGCGGCGCUGGGCGAGCUGGUGCCGCGGCGGGCGCCGCGGGCUACCUGGUGGCCAAGGUGGUGGCGGUGGACGCGGACGCGGGGCAGAACGCGUGGCUGUCCUACGAGCUGGCCAAGGCGACGGAGCCGGGGCUGUUCCGCGUGGGGCUGCACAGCGGCGAGGUGCGCACGGCGCGCGCCGUGGGCGAGCGCGACGCGGCCCGGCACCGGCUGGUGGUGCUGGUGCGGGACCCGCGGGCGGCCGCCGCGCUCCGCCAGCGCCACCCCUGGCCGUGGCCCCUGGCCGACGGCUUCUCCGAAGAGCACCUAAGGGCCGGCCAAGAGGCGCCGGCCGCCGAGCCCGACGCCCGCCUCACCCUCUACCUCAGCGUCUGCUUGGCCUGCGUGUCCGCGCUCUUCGUGGCCAGCGCCACGGCCGCCGUGGCCGCCAAGCUGAGGCGGGCCCGAAGGGGCGAGCCGGGGCCCUUGCCCGUCUUCCCGCAGUCGGCCGCCGACAGCAGCGCCGGCUCCCUGCCCCGCAGCUACGUCUACGACGUGCGCCUCGCCGCCCGGCACCGUCAACAGCGAGUUCCGCUUCCUCGGGCCGCUCUUCCCCUGCUUCCCCGCCGGGCUGCCGCCGGGCUCGGCCGAGCAGCGGAGCUCGCUCUGCUCGGGCCGGCCUCGGGCAAGAAGAAGGAGACUGGGCUGUGCAGGGCCGAUCUCCUUUCUCUGAAGACACAGCUCCCCGGCCAGCAGAAGAGAACACUUCUUUGGGUCAGAGUCCUUGGCUCACCCAGCAGUAACUGAGGAGAAAGAGAAGCGUCAUAGUCUAGCAUUCUCACAGGGAAAGGAGAGCAUCAAAAACACACCAGAGAGGUUCAAGAGUUCUCUGUUUUAGUGCAGGGACCCUCUCCUGUUUGUUAACUUGUGUUUUAUUCAGGAUGGAGCAGGAGGACUGUGUUGCAUGCUGGUUACACUGAGAUUUGCUGUCUUAUUGUCAUAGCUCUGUUUCUCUUGAAUCUUAAGGGAAAUAUGAAAAAGAAGCUGAUCUUCAAGAUUACUUUAUACUACAUCAGCUUUCUUGUCAAGUGAACUCUGUAAAUCUGAUUAGAUUUUCUGUAAUCUACUCAAUUCCAUGUCAUACAAAUAUUAGUCAAAAUGAAAUGAUGCUUGCAAGGGAAUUCUUUAGUAACAAUGAGGAUGUUCUACACUGGAAAUAACUGACAUUGGCACAGUGUAUAUUCAACCAGAUGUUUACAAAUUCUCCAAGCUGCAAAGUAUGCUGUUUGAGUACUGUGUUCUUGUGUUCAUGUUUGUUUUAUUUUAUCUUUUUCAUUCAUAAUGAGAAGCUGAAAUAAAUGGUUAUAGAGUUAUAGAGUAUUAUUGAGU
Molecule: long non-coding RNA, 1738 nt
Filed under: Coturnix japonica (Japanese quail)
Lineage: Eukaryota; Metazoa; Chordata; Aves; Galliformes; Phasianidae
Description: lncRNA (ENSCJPG00005011489.1)
Source: RNAcentral